AUUGAACGCUGGCGGCAGGCCUAACACAUGCGAGUCGAGCGGAAGAAGGGAGCUUGCUCCUGGAUUCAGCGGCGGACGGGUGAGUAAUGCCUAGGAAUCUGCCUGGUAGUGGGGGAUAACGUCCGGAAACGGGCGCUAAUACCGCAUACGUCCUGAGGGAGAAAGUGGGGGAUCUUCGGACCUCACGCUAUCAGAUGAGCCUAGGUCGGAUUAGCUAGUUGGUGGGGUAAAGGCCUACCAAGGCGACGAUCCGUAACUGGUCUGAGAGGAUGAUCAGUCACACUGGAACUGAGACACGGUCCAGACUCCUACGGGAGGCAGCAGUGGGGAAUAUUGGACAAUGGGCGAAAGCCUGAUCCAGCCAUGCCGCGUGUGUGAAGAAGGUCUUCGGAUUGUAAAGCACUUUAAGUUGGGAGGAAGGGCAGUAAGUUAAUACCUUGCUGUUUUGACGUUACCAACAGAAUAAGCACCGGCUAACUUCGUG
This 484-nucleotide ribosomal RNA is filed under the name uncultured bacterium. RNAcentral describes it as "partial 16S ribosomal RNA". It matches the Rfam family "Bacterial small subunit ribosomal RNA", at positions 30 to 507 of the family's 1533-position model. The record is from RNAcentral.